UACGGAGGGUGCAAACGUUGCUCGGAAUCAUUGGGCGUAAAGCGCGCGUAGGCGGCGAAGCAAGUUGGAUGUGAAAUCCCUGGGCUCAACCCAGGAUGUGCAUACAAAACUGCUUCGCUUGAAUCUCGGAGGGGGACAGGGAAUUCCCGGUGUAGAGGUGAAAUUCGUAGAUAUCGGGAGGAACACCAGUGGCGAAGGCGCUGUCCUGGACGAUGAUUGACGCUGAGGCGCGAAAGCGUGGGGAGCAAACAGG
Molecule: ribosomal RNA, 253 nt
Filed under: uncultured bacterium
Lineage: Bacteria
Description: partial 16S ribosomal RNA
Rfam family: Bacterial small subunit ribosomal RNA
Source: RNAcentral